UCGAUGUUCUAAAAUAAUUGC
Molecule: non-coding RNA, 21 nt
Filed under: Caenorhabditis elegans
Lineage: Eukaryota; Metazoa; Nematoda; Chromadorea; Rhabditida; Rhabditidae
Source: RNAcentral